This 253-nucleotide ribosomal RNA is filed under the name uncultured bacterium. Its description in RNAcentral is "partial 16S ribosomal RNA". It matches the Rfam family "Bacterial small subunit ribosomal RNA", at positions 524 to 776 of the family's 1533-position model. The record is from RNAcentral.
UACGUAGGGUGCGAGCGUUAAUCGGAAUUACUGGGCGUAAAGCGUGCGCAGGCGGUUCGUUGUGUCGGCGGUGAAAGCCCCGGGCUUAACCUGGGAAUGGCCGUUGAAACUGGCGAACUGGAGUGUGGCAGAGGGGGGUGGAAUUCCGCGUGUAGCAGUGAAAUGCGUAGAGAUGCGGAGGAACACCGAUGGCGAAGGCAGCCCCCUGGGUUAACACUGACGCUCAGGCACGAAAGCGUGGGGAGCAAACAGG